RNAcentral lists this ribosomal RNA (471 nucleotides) under uncultured bacterium. RNAcentral's name for it is "partial 16S ribosomal RNA". It matches the Rfam family "Bacterial small subunit ribosomal RNA", at positions 28 to 507 of the family's 1533-position model. The record is from RNAcentral.
GACGAACGCUGGCGGCGUGCUUAACACAUGCCAGUCGAGCGGAAAGGCCCUGCUUGCAGGGUGCUCGAGUGGCGAACGGGUGAGUAACACGUGGGUGAUCUGCCCCUUACUUUGGGAUAAGCCUGGGAAACUGGGUCUAAUACUGGAUAGGACCAUGCUGUAGGUGGUGUGGUGGAAAGAUUUUUUCGGUAAGGGAUGAGCUCGCGGCCUAUCAGCUUGUUGGUGGGGUAAUGGCCUACCAAGGCGUCGACGGGUAGCCGGCCUGAGAGGGUGGACGGCCACAUUGGGACUGAGAUACGGCCCAGACUCCUACGGGAGGCAGCAGUGGGGAAUAUUGCACAAUGGGCGCAAGCCUGAUGCAGCGACGCCGCGUGGGGGAUGACGGCCUUCGGGUUGUAAACUCCUUUCAGCCAUGACGAAGCCUCUUUUGGGGUGACGGUAGUGGUAGAAGAAGCACCGGCUAACUACGUG